RNAcentral lists this ribosomal RNA (1447 nucleotides) under Shigella sonnei. Its description in RNAcentral is "partial 23S ribosomal RNA". It matches the Rfam family "Bacterial large subunit ribosomal RNA", at positions 1233 to 2664 of the family's 2925-position model. The record is from RNAcentral. Lineage: Bacteria; Pseudomonadati; Pseudomonadota; Gammaproteobacteria; Enterobacterales; Enterobacteriaceae.
GGAGCGUUCUGUAAGCCUGCGAAGGUGUGCUGUGAGGCAUGCUGGAGGUAUCAGAAGUGCGAAUGCUGACAUAAGUAACGAUAAAGCGGGUGAAAAGCCCGCUCGCCGGAAGACCAAGGGUUCCUGUCCAACGUUAAUCGGGGCAGGGUGAGUCGACCCCUAAGGCGAGGCCGAAAGGCGUAGUCGAUGGGAAACAGGUUAAUAUUCCUGUACUUGGUGUUACUGCGAAGGGGGGACGGAGAAGGCUAUGUUGGCCGGGCGACGGUUGUCCCGGUUUAAGCGUGUAGGCUGGUUUUCCAGGCAAAUCCGGAAAAUCAAGGCUGAGGCGUGAUGACGAGGCACUACGGUGCUGAAGCAACAAAUGCCCUGCUUCCAGGAAAAGCCUCUAAGCAUCAGGUAACAUCAAAUCGUACCCCAAACCGACACAGGUGGUCAGGUAGAGAAUACCAAGGCGCUUGAGAGAACUCGGGUGAAGGAACUAGGCAAAAUGGUGCCGUAACUUCGGGAGAAGGCACGCUGAUAUGUAGGUGAAGUCCCUUGCGGAUGGAGCUGAAAUCAGUCGAAGAUACCAGCUGGCUGCAACUGUUUAUUAAAAACACAGCACUGUGCAAACACGAAAGUGGACGUAUACGGUGUGACGCCUGCCCGGUGCCGGAAGGUUAAUUGAUGGGGUCAGCGCAAGCGAAGCUCUUGAUCGAAGCCCCGGUAAACGGCGGCCGUAACUAUAACGGUCCUAAGGUAGCGAAAUUCCUUGUCGGGUAAGUUCCGACCUGCACGAAUGGCGUAAUGAUGGCCAGGCUGUCUCCACCCGAGACUCAGUGAAAUUGAACUCGCUGUGAAGAUGCAGUGUACCCGCGGCAAGACGGAAAGACCCCGUGAACCUUUACUAUAGCUUGACACUGAACAUUGAGCCUUGAUGUGUAGGAUAGGUGGGAGGCUUUGAAGUGUGGACGCCAGUCUGCAUGGAGCCGGCCUUGAAAUACCACCCUUUAAUGUUUGAUGUUCUAACGUGGACCCGUGAUCCGGGUUGCGGACAGUGUCUGGUGGGUAGUUUGACUGGGGCGGUCUCCUCCUAAAGAGUAACGGAGGAGCACGAAGGUUGGCUAAUCCUGGUCGGACAUCAGGAGGUUAGUGCAAUGGCAUAAGCCAGCUUGACUGCGAGCGUGACGGCGCGAGCAGGUGCGAAAGCAGGUCAUAGUGAUCCGGUGGUUCUGAAUGGAAGGGCCAUCGCUCAACGGAUAAAAGGUACUCCGGGGAUAACAGGCUGAUACCGCCCAAGAGUUCAUAUCGACGGCGGUGUUUGGCACCUCGAUGUCGGCUCAUCACAUCCUGGGGCUGAAGUAGGUCCCAAGGGUAUGGCUGUUCGCCAUUUAAAGUGGUACGCGAGCUGGGUUUAGAACGUCGUGAGACAGUUCGGUCCCUAUCUGCCGUGGGCGCUGGAGAACUG